Molecule: long non-coding RNA, 280 nt
Filed under: Elaeis guineensis (African oil palm)
Lineage: Eukaryota; Viridiplantae; Streptophyta; Magnoliopsida; Arecales; Arecaceae
Description: long non-coding RNA (EGUI_LNC082149)
Source: RNAcentral
UCCCGCCUGAUUUCUCCAGGAUUUUUAGGGUCUUUGUUUGAAAUGUCUUCCGGCACCUCCGCCUCUAGUGGUUCCAGGAGUUCGUCCGCCUCAGCCCCCCAGAACCCCCACACUGUAGGCGAACCCACAUCUAGGGCUGGGCCUCGCCCGAUUUUUACGUCGGGUGCCAUUCCCUGUUCUCUGACUCCGGAUGAACUUCUACUGAUAAGGGUUCAGUAUGGAGUUCCUCCGGAGUAUGAUCUGGAGCUUCCUGGUCCCGCCGACCGGGCUAGCACCCCCC